UUUACAUCUGCCCAGCGGACUGACUCUCCGCUUUAUACGUUACUGCUUGGUUGUGUGCGUGUAUGGGCAUACACACACACGCAUAAACGCACGUGUAGAUAAGUAUGCUUCCCUUCCUUCGCCAGCGCGUGUGUGUGCGCGAGGGAUGGAGUCGCAUCGAGGCCAUUAAGCGAGUCUGCACAUUCGUCUCCGUCGAUCUGACUUCUGGAGGCGGUGUGUGUGUGUGUGUGCGGUGCGGUCGUGCCGCUUUUACACACGGGGGCCAAAUGCCGACAGGAGCAGAGUGCGUCUUUUCCAUGCGAGAGCAUACAUACGCGUAUACCGCCUGUGCUUGUGCGUCCUGACGAGAGUGCGGAGCUGCAUGCCCGUUCAGCUUCCUGCUUCACCGGGUGGAGAGGCGGAAGGGGGUUUGGAUGGGCGGGGGGACUUCCUCUGGAGACGCGGGCAGUGAACGUAGCGAGAGAGAAGGGACCAUGAGGUUAGUGGGGGGGGGCUUCUCACAGACUAUCACUACGAGAAGCAGCGCUGAUGGGCUGAAGGAGGAUCUCGCCUGCGGCGGACUGCCCAAAGAAGAAAGAGACGUGAUCAUCCACUCACCGCGUCGCCCACCGUCAUGCCCCGAGAACGGUGUGCGAGGAUGGAUACAAUGAAGCCAGUGACCGUGUGCCCCGCAGGGACGGGCGCGCACUCGCUUGCCGGCUUCGGCAGCAAAGCAAGACAAAAAAGUUAAGGAGGAGUAGAGGGCGGGGGGGGGUCCGCCGUCGCAGCACUGACUCUCCAAGGGCGUGCUUAACAGACGUAUGUCUGUAUGCGUACAUGCGUGCCGCCUAGGCUGCAUUCUCUCUCCUCGUGGUUGCUCGCACUCACCCCCUCUCUCGCUCUGCCACCCGAGCACACAUGAGUACCAAUUACGGACAG
Molecule: unclassified non-coding RNA, 918 nt
Filed under: Leishmania donovani
Lineage: Eukaryota; Euglenozoa; Kinetoplastea; Trypanosomatida; Trypanosomatidae
Description: gene:unknown
Source: RNAcentral